UGUGACCUCAAAUCAGGUAGGACUACCCGCUGAACUUAAGCAUAUCAAUAAGCGGAGGAAAAGAAACUAACAAGGAUUCCCCUAGUAACUGCGAGUGAAGCGGGAAAAGCUCAAAUUUAAAAUCUGGCGGUCUUCUGGCUGUCCGAGUUGUAAUCUAGAGAAGUGUUAUCCGCGCUGGACCGUGUACAAGUCUCCUGGAAUGGAGCAUCAUAGAGGGUGAGAAUCCCGUCUUUGACAUGGACUGCCAGGGCUUUGUGAUGCGCUCUCAAAGAGUCGAGUUGUUUGGGAAUGCAGCUCAAAAUGGGUGGUAAAUUCCAUCUAAAGCUAAAUAUUGGCGAGAGACCGAUAGCGAACAAGUACCGUGAGGGAAAGAUGAAAAGAACUUUGGAAAGAGAGUUAAACAGUACGUGAAAUUGCUGAAAGGGAAACGCUUGAAGUCAGUCG
This 444-nucleotide ribosomal RNA is filed under the name Cortinarius vernus. Its description in RNAcentral is "eukaryotic LSU rRNA". It matches the Rfam family "Eukaryotic large subunit ribosomal RNA", at positions 1 to 435 of the family's 3401-position model. The record is from RNAcentral. Lineage: Eukaryota; Fungi; Basidiomycota; Agaricomycetes; Agaricales; Cortinariaceae.